UUUCCCACUAACAAAAAAAGCCCCGUCAUGUUCACAUGACGGGGCUUUGCCCUUUCUUGGCU
This 62-nucleotide small RNA is filed under the name Paenibacillus sp. P22. Its description in RNAcentral is "ctRNA". Lineage: Bacteria; Bacillati; Bacillota; Bacilli; Caryophanales; Paenibacillaceae. The record is from RNAcentral.